CGCGGUGAGAGCUUCCUGCCUUCCACAGCUCCAUCGGACUUCAGAAGCAAAUGCAGAGGCAGUUUAACAGCCUUUAGAAGAAAUUAGCCUGUUCACACCCCCCUCUAAGCUCCUGUUUGGAAGAACAGAAGAUGUUACUCUAGAUCUGACUCAGCAGGAUUCCACAUUCUGCACAUUGUGGAUGGGUCUGCCAGUGUGACUGCACACUGGAGAAGGCCAGGCAAUUUGGAGGCAGCUUCAGGCAGGCCCAGUACUGGUGUCAGCCACC
Non-coding RNA from Coturnix japonica (Japanese quail), 268 nucleotides. The record is from RefSeq and is a predicted model, not a curated record. NCBI's taxonomy places the organism in Eukaryota, Metazoa, Chordata, Aves, Galliformes, Phasianidae.